RNAcentral lists this ribosomal RNA (490 nucleotides) under uncultured bacterium. RNAcentral's name for it is "partial 16S ribosomal RNA". It matches the Rfam family "Bacterial small subunit ribosomal RNA", at positions 30 to 507 of the family's 1533-position model. The record is from RNAcentral.
AUUGAACGCUGGCGGCAUGCUUUACACAUGCAAGUCGGACGGCAGCACAGAGAAGCUUGCUUCUUGGGUGGCGAGUGGCGAACGGGUGAGUAAUAUAUCGGAACGUACCGAGUAAUGGGGGAUAACUAAUCGAAAGAUUAGCUAAUACCGCAUAUUCUCUGAGGAGGAAAGCAGGGGACCUUCGGGCCUUGCGUUAUUCGAGCGGCCGAUAUCUGAUUAGCUAGUUGGUGGGGUAAAGGCCUACCAAGGCGACGAUCAGUAGCGGGUCUGAAAGGAUGAUCCGCCACACUGGGACUGAGACACGGCCCAGACUCCUACGGGAGGCAGCAGUGGGGAAUUUUGGACAAUGGGCGCAAGCCUGAUCCAGCCAUGCCGCGUGUCUGAAGAAGGCCUUCGGGUUGUAAAGGACUUUUGUCAGGGAAGAAAAGGCUGUUGCUAAUACCGACAGCCGAUGACGGUACCUGAAGAAUAAGCACCGGCUAACUACGUG